Molecule: transfer RNA, 69 nt
Filed under: Callistomys pictus (painted tree-rat)
Lineage: Eukaryota; Metazoa; Chordata; Mammalia; Rodentia; Echimyidae
Description: tRNA-Tyr
Rfam family: tRNA
About the family: Transfer RNA (tRNA) molecules are approximately 80 nucleotides in length. Their secondary structure includes four short double-helical elements and three loops (D, anti-codon, and T loops). Further hydrogen bonds mediate the characteristic L-shaped molecular structure. tRNAs have two regions of fundamental functional importance: the anti-codon, which is responsible for specific mRNA codon recognition, and the 3' end, to which the tRNAs corresponding amino acid is attached (by aminoacyl-tRNA synthetases). tRNAs cope with the degeneracy of the genetic code in two manners: having more than one tRNA (with a specific anti-codon) for a particular amino acid; and 'wobble' base-pairing, i.e. permitting non-standard base-pairing at the 3rd anti-codon position.
Source: RNAcentral
GGUAGGGUGGCCGAAGAUAAGCGUUAGACUGUAAAUCUAAAUAUAAGGGUUAUAUUCCUUUCUCUACCA